GAUUGGUCGAGCCACAUACAGUUGGCUGGUACCGAUAGGCCCACGUCACAAUGAUACCGUUCUUCUGGAAAAUUCGAGUAGGUGCAAAUGCAUCGUCGGAAUUAAUUUCUCUCGCUUGUUAAAAUGAAAAAACGAAUUAUUAUCUGUCUCGAUCACAGUACUAUCUGCGCCAGAGACAUGCGAGAUAUUCCGCUUUUUUAAUAAAUAAUCGCGUCAGUUUUCGGUGAUUCUGAUGCAACGUACGACACGCGUGCCGUGAAGCUUAACGGAAUAUCUAUACGUUUAUUCAAACAUUUGGUAAAAAAACUUGACACAUAUUCGUCGCACCAGAUACCGCUUUAAUUGUGAACAGACUAUUACACUUAAUCGUAUCGAGAAUGCUGCUAGUAUUUACUUUUCGGAUGUAACAUGUCUAAGAUCAAAGGUGUGAAGUACGUUAUAAUACAA
Ceratina calcarata is the source of this 447-nucleotide long non-coding RNA. RefSeq lists it as uncharacterized. NCBI's taxonomy places the organism in Eukaryota, Metazoa, Arthropoda, Insecta, Hymenoptera, Apidae. The record is from RefSeq and is a predicted model, not a curated record. The transcript has 2 exons.